RNAcentral lists this transfer RNA (82 nucleotides) under Lepisosteus oculatus (spotted gar). It matches the Rfam family "tRNA". From Rfam's summary of the family: Transfer RNA (tRNA) molecules are approximately 80 nucleotides in length. Their secondary structure includes four short double-helical elements and three loops (D, anti-codon, and T loops). The record is from Rfam by way of RNAcentral. Lineage: Eukaryota; Metazoa; Chordata; Actinopteri; Semionotiformes; Lepisosteidae.
GUAGUCGUGGCCGAGUGGUUAAGGUGAUGGACUAGAAAUCCAUUGGGGUCUCCCUGGGCAGGUUCUUAUCCUGCUGACUGCG